Molecule: ribosomal RNA, 147 nt
Filed under: Radiolaria sp.
Lineage: Eukaryota
Description: partial small subunit ribosomal RNA
Rfam family: Eukaryotic small subunit ribosomal RNA
Source: RNAcentral
UAGUUGGUGGAGUGAUUUGUCUGGUUAAUUCCGUUAACGAACGAGACCUCAGCCUGCUAAAUAGUUAAAUCUUGUUUUUACAAGGUUUUAACUUCUUAGAGGGACUACGCAGCAUACAAGCGCGAGGAAGCUUGAGGCAAUAACAGG